This 842-nucleotide long non-coding RNA is filed under the name Ficedula albicollis (Collared flycatcher). Its description in RNAcentral is "lncRNA (ENSFALG00000026143.1)". The record is from RNAcentral. Lineage: Eukaryota; Metazoa; Chordata; Aves; Passeriformes; Muscicapidae.
AUGGUACAUCCCAAAGUUAUAAGACGCCUUUUUUCAAUUUGCUCCCUAUUAGAAAGAAAUGCUGUAAGCGAUGUUUCUCCAGAAACUGGUGUUGUGCUAGCAAGCAGAAAUUUACAGAUGGUUAGAAGAUACACAUCAGCACCUGUAUUUCUCAAGCUCACAAAAAAGGGAAAAAAAAAAGAAAACCAAACCAAAACCACAAAUCCCCCAUCAGUUGCUGAAAGCUUCCAGAUUCCUGAUGAUCUCUGCACCUCCUAAAUGGAGAUAAAUCUCAAGAGAACUCAAAGCCAAAAAUAAGGAGGAAGAAUUGGUAAAGAAAAGAAACAGCUUUCUCUUUCUAGGUAGGAAGAUAUAAUAAAUACACCAGAAACUAAACUCUUCACAAUUUGUGCAAUUUUCUCCAUGAUGUUGCACCCUACACAUGACUUCUGAUGGACAGAAACAGUGUUUAGAUGCUUUACCUAAACAGUAAAUACCUCCUGUUUAGGGAGGGGAUCUUACAUGAUACUCCUUCAGACAUCAACCUAGUAAGUUACUUCUUGGCAAAUUCUGGUGUACUGUCCUUACAUCAGUUCCCAGUUGUUUCCAGACAAGUAGUACAUCAAUCUUCUCUUUCUCUUGAAUACCAGUGGCUUCCAUAAAAUGAGUUCAUAUUUUGAAAACAUUUCUCUGGCACAUUUCCCUGGAACAUUUCCAGGAAUAUUGAGCGUCUAAUGACCAACUGAACAUGAAUAAAACUUAAAUUUCUCUCUUAAAAAUCACAAGUAAUGCUGAAAACAUAUGUCAGAUGUUACAAUGCUUUUGUUGCUGGCAGAAUUUAAAAUUUAAAAUAUGGUAAGGGG